This 257-nucleotide ribosomal RNA is filed under the name uncultured bacterium. RNAcentral describes it as "partial 16S ribosomal RNA". It matches the Rfam family "Bacterial small subunit ribosomal RNA", at positions 524 to 776 of the family's 1533-position model. The record is from RNAcentral.
UACAGAGGAGCCAAGCGUUGUCCGGAUUCAUUGGGCGUAAAGGGUGCGUAGGCGGCAAGGUAAGUCAGGUGUGAAAGCCUGGGGCUCAACCCCAGAAGUGCAUUUGAUACUGCCUGUGCUUUAAGAGGACUGGAGAGGAGAGUGGAAUUCACGGUGUAGCAGUGAAAUGCGUAGAUAUCGUGAGGAAGGCCAGUGGCGAAGGCGGCUCUCUGGACAGGACCUGACGCUGAGGCACGAAGGCUAGGGGAGCAAACGGG